Molecule: non-coding RNA, 21 nt
Filed under: Caenorhabditis elegans
Lineage: Eukaryota; Metazoa; Nematoda; Chromadorea; Rhabditida; Rhabditidae
Source: RNAcentral
UCGCUACGCUUUUUCCUUUUA